RNAcentral lists this ribosomal RNA (253 nucleotides) under uncultured bacterium. Its description in RNAcentral is "partial 16S ribosomal RNA". It matches the Rfam family "Bacterial small subunit ribosomal RNA", at positions 524 to 776 of the family's 1533-position model. The record is from RNAcentral.
UACGUAGGGACCGAGCGUUGUCCGGAAUCAUUGGGCGUAAAGCGCGUGUAGGCGGCCCGGUAAGUCCGCUGUGAAAGUCGGGGGCUCAACCCUCGGAUGCCGGUGGAUACUGUCGGGCUAGAGUACGGAAGAGGCGAGUGGAAUUCCUGGUGUAGCGGUGAAAUGCGCAGAUAUCAGGAGGAACACCGAUGGCGAAGGCAGCUCGCUGGGACGGUACUGACGCUGAGGCACGAAAGCUAGGGGAGCAAACAGG